GGUCUUAUAGUCAAAUAUGACAUUAAAUUGCAAAUUUAAAAGUAAUUAAAUAAAUUUAAGGCUU
This 64-nucleotide transfer RNA is filed under the name Leiodidae sp. BMNH 1274772. RNAcentral describes it as "tRNA-Cys". The record is from RNAcentral. Lineage: Eukaryota; Metazoa; Arthropoda; Insecta; Coleoptera; Leiodidae.